GAAGGUAUAGCUCAGGAGCAGAGCGCAUGCUUAGCAUGCAUGAGGUCCUGGGUUCAAUCCCCAGUACCUCUG
This 72-nucleotide transfer RNA is filed under the name Camelus bactrianus (Bactrian camel). It matches the Rfam family "tRNA". From Rfam's summary of the family: Transfer RNA (tRNA) molecules are approximately 80 nucleotides in length. The record is from Rfam by way of RNAcentral. RNAcentral also lists the same sequence under 2 other names. Lineage: Eukaryota; Metazoa; Chordata; Mammalia; Artiodactyla; Camelidae.